GAAAUGCGAUAAGUAAUGUGAAUUGCAGAAUUCAGUGAAUCAUCGAAUCUUUGAACGCACCUUGCGCUCCUUGGUAUUCUGAGGAGCACACCUGUUUGAGUGUCAUGAAAUUCUCAACCUUGCAUGCCUUUUGUGGUUUGUUAGGCUUGGAUAUUGGAGGGUUUGUGUUGGCAUCUGGUCAACUCCUCUUAAAUGCAUUAGCUUGGUCCUUUGCAGAUCGGCUCUUGGUGUGAUAAAUUGUUUAUGCCAUGACCGUGAAGUUUGGUAAGCUUAUAAUUGUCUCGGUGAGGAGACAGCUUUUGUUGACAUCUGGCCUCAAAUCAGGUGGGAUUACCCGCUGAACUUAA
RNAcentral lists this unclassified non-coding RNA (347 nucleotides) under uncultured Polyporaceae. Its description in RNAcentral is "sequence contains ITS1". The stretch from base 1 to 105 matches the Rfam family "5.8S ribosomal RNA", at positions 50 to 154 of the family's 154-position model. Lineage: Eukaryota; Fungi; Basidiomycota; Agaricomycetes; Polyporales; Polyporaceae. The record is from RNAcentral.